Molecule: ribosomal RNA, 632 nt
Filed under: uncultured bacterium
Lineage: Bacteria
Description: bacterial SSU rRNA
Rfam family: Bacterial small subunit ribosomal RNA
Source: RNAcentral
GUUUGAACCUGGCUCAGGAUGAACGCUGGCGGCGUGCCUAAUACAUGCAAGUCGAGCGAACCACUUCGGUGGUGAGCGGCGAACGGGUGAGUAACACGUAGGUGAUCUGCCCAUCAGACGGGGACAACGAUUGGAAACGAUCGCUAAUACCGGAUAGGACGAAAGUUUAAAGGUGCUUCUGGCACCGCUGAUGGAUGAGCCUGCGGCGCAUUAGCUAGUUGGUAGGGUAAAGGCCUACCAAGGCGACGAUGCGUAGCCGACCUGAGAGGGUGAACGGCCACACUGGGACUGAGACACGGCCCAGACUCCUACGGGAGGCAGCAGUAGGGAAUCUUCGGCAAUGGGCGAAAGCCUGACCGAGCAACGCCGCGUGAAUGAUGAAGGCCUUCGGGUUGUAAAAUUCUGUUAUAAGGGAAGAACGACUUUAGUAGGAAAUGGCUAGAGUGUGACGGUACCUUAUGAGAAAGCCACGGCUAACUACGUGCCAGCAGCCGCGGUAAUACGUAGGUGGCGAGCGUUAUCCGGAAUUAUUGGGCGUAAAGAGCGCGCAGGUGGUUGAUUAAGUCUGAUGUGAAAGCCCACGGCUUAACCGUGGAGGGUCAUUGGAAACUGGUCGACUUGAGUGCAGAAGA